Molecule: long non-coding RNA, 22225 nt
Filed under: Citrus maxima (pomelo)
Lineage: Eukaryota; Viridiplantae; Streptophyta; Magnoliopsida; Sapindales; Rutaceae
Description: long non-coding RNA (CMAX_LNC002006)
Source: RNAcentral
CCUGAAGAUUCUCCAUGUAUGCUAGAUGUAAGACAUUGAACGGUGGACUUUCACAUUGGCAAACCAUUACAGAUUGAGUGAUGCUCACCAGCUUUGGAUAUUUCAAAAACUUUUGGACAGCAAGUGAACUUCGGAAGGUCCAGCUUAAAACAUUUAAAUGCUUCAAACCCAGCAAUUCCUUCAUCAAAGGUUCAGCAUCAUCACAUAGAACGUUACCUUCUAUUACGCUCCAGCGACCGCGUGAAAGCAACCUGAGUACCUCCAACUUUGAAAAGCCAGAUAUCAAUUGAUGUGGAAUUAUAGACAAAAACCGUGUAUAGUCCAAGUUCAAAUAUCUCAACUUCUCCAACGCCUUCAGCUCUUGCGGCAACCCAGUUAUGUUAGUCGAUGAUAGAUCAAGAUGAUGUAAUGAAACCAAACCUGAAAUCCCUGAAGGUAGUGUUCUUAGGGGAAAAUUUCCUCUUAGACUUAAUACUCUAAGAGAAGACAUCGAUUGAAAGAAGCCAUCAGUAAUCUCCUCAAUCCGAUUUCCACCCAGAAGUAAAGUUACGAGGCGCGGACACGUGGGAAUUUCCAAUAAGCUCCUAAUUCCAUUUCCCAUCAGAGAUACCCGUUUGGCACCUUCCCAUUCUUCAAACUUUGGUGCUUCGGUCAAUUCAACUCCAGCGCGAACCAGAAAGUUCUGCUCCUCCUUGUCUACCGUGCACGCUAUCCAUAAUGACAUCUCACGAAUCAUAUCGUGCAUCUUUACAUGAUCAUCGCCUUCUUCCUCCAAUAAGCAUGCAUGAAGAAGGUCAUCAAUAAAAUCGCAUCCACCAUCAAAAUCAUAUACAAAUCCUUCACUAAUCCAAUAAUCAAUCAAAUCCCUUUUAGGAAUUUCGUAGUCUUCAGGAUAUAAACAACAAUACAGGAGACAGGAACGAAGUUCGUCCGUAGACAAACUAUCAUAGCUGAACUUUAAACGCGAAAACACCUCUUCUUUCAUACCUGAGAAUUUAGAAGCUGAUGUUCUCAUUUUGUGAAUUGCACGUUUCCAAUCUCCAACUUUCCUUUGGCUUUUCAUGGCUCGACCCACUGUUUUAAGCGCUAGCGGCAACCCACCACACUCUCUUGCCAAGGUUUCGGCUAGCUCUGGAAUACCGGUAUGACUGUCCAGAGUGGAUCUGUCGACCAUCUCCUGAAAUAAUUCCCAGGCUUUAUCAUGCGCCAAACUAUACACUUCCACCUUUUCAGCGUCCAUUUGAUCGCAAACACCAGCUGAACGAGUUGUCAAGACUACUUUGGACCCAUCAUUUAGUUUUUGAAGAGGGACACCCAAUUCUGUUAAAUGAAUGGGUUUCCAUAUAUCAUCCAAUAACAACACAAACUUCCUUCUGCUUAAAAUGCUAGCGAUGUCCACAGCCUUGUCUUGAGGACUUUUUUUCGCCCAGCUUUGGUCUUCUGAAAAGCCAAUCCUUUUUCCAAUGUCAUCUUGAAGUGUUGACGCAGCCGCCCAGAUAACAACAUCAAAAUUAUGCUGUUGAUGGCAGAAGUUGUUGUUGACUUGUUUUAAAAGGGUAGUUUUGCCGACUCCCCCUAUACCAUACAAGCCGAUAAUUCCCCUGUUAUUUUCCUCAUCAGUGAUACAUCUCCAAACUCGAUCAAGUAAUAAUUCUUGACCAACAACUGUGUGCUCAACAGGUAAUUCAAUUGCUGCACCAUCCGGCGCCUUCUCAACAACCACUUCAAUUUUUUCUCCGUCUUUCUUUAAAUUGAUCACUCGAUCCGUCAACUCGACCACCUGAGUCCCGUAAUUGUAGCUUGAAACGAAGUUUUUGGAACAGAGGCCUCCAAGGCACAAUCUAUCGAUUUCAUGAGCUCUAACUCGUUCCAGCUCGGUAAAUUCAGUUUCCAGUUUUUGCACAUCUUCAAGCCACCCUGCGACCUGGUUCGUUCGUCUGGUUCGAGGUCGUUGUUCUUCGACCUCAACCUUGGUCUUCAGAUCGUCCCUUGCUCGAGUCAAUUUGUGCAAUUCAGUCUCCAAGACCCGAAGGUUUUUUUCGAGACCCCAUACAUAAUUUGCUUGUUCACCAACGCAGUUUGAAGUUCGAUCAAAUAAGUCUGCUGGUAAGAAGGUUGAGAUUAGGUUACCCAUUGUCGUUGACGAAAAGAGGAAGAGAAGCAACGAGUACAAUGAAAAGAAUUAAGCUAAUUUUUACUUAAAUUCUUAAGAAUUGCUGUCAAAUGCAAACAGAGUAUGAGAAUCAGGUCUUUAUUGAUUAUGAUGACUUGAAUGAAAAUGAAAUACAGAGCUUUGCUAGUUUACAUACAGAGACAAAAAAUAAUGACAGCUAGCCUAAGGGGUAUUACACGGAAGUAAUCAAAAUUGAUCCGUGAAUAUAGCAAUUGUGAACCAAUCACAUUAAGCUUCUAGAAGAUGCAACUAUUCAAUGCACAUGCGCUGCUAUUCUUCAACAUAACAGUUUUGCCAGCUCAACAAAUCCAACUCACAGAAUCAAGGUCAACCGUUGACUCUUCACAGCUGCUGCUUUCAACAAUUUUUAGAGAACCACAACACCAAAAUAAAAAUAUGAUACAUUUGUUGCUUUAUUCAUUAUGUCAAAUAUCAAGAAUAUAAUGAUACGUUUGCACGUCAUAUAAAAUUUGUAUUUCAACCAAGUAAUCACAUAGUUAAUAUUAAAUCUUAUCAUUUGUUAUCUAAGUGAUAAAUUUAUAUUGACAAUAUAUUAUUUAGAAUAAAAAUUUUCUACCUUAGGUUUGGAUGAAGAUCCAAAAUAUUAAGUCAAUGAUAGAUAGAUAAAAAAUAAAAUAAAAUAAAUUUUAACAUUAAUUUUUUAUUUAAUAAAAAGUAAAUUCAAUACAGAAUUCUAAUCCCUUAAUCUCUCUCCAUCCACGGCAAAAGAAAGCAGCAACUCAACUCUCUUUAAAGGCUAUGGAGGUUCUCUUGCGACCUCUCUUCAGCAUACCCUCCAGAACAUUAACCCCACCACCGCCAUCACCACCCUGUUAAACACGUUUUCAAAACGUGUAUAAUGUGGCCAUCUAAUUUAUUUUUAAUUAUUAGUUUUCUAAUUUAAAUUGAUAUUUAUCUUUAUUUAGUUUACUUUUAAAACGUUGGGUUUGGUUUAAAAUUUGAAUAAAGAUAAAACAUCUCUUCCUAAUAUCUCUCAUACACGUUACGGGUGGUUUACUAAAAUCAAGGGGAUAACGGCUCAUAACUUCCUCUUUUAUUUAAACUUGUCAUCUUGAUGGGAGAUGUUUUACGGUCACGUUUUUUCAAGAAAAAUAUUGAGGGUCCCUGGUCUAACAACAGAGCCUGUGUAUACCAUCUACUCUCAGGAAUUAAGUGUUGGAUAGACUAGAAAAUUCUGAGUACAAAGCAUGGCUUGUUUUCGUUGGUUUUGUUUGCAUUCCAGUAGAAAGGUUGUGUACAAUUGAAUUUGAUAACUAUGGCAGGAGGUAAGUUUUCUAACUUGUGCAUGAUGAAUAUAGUCUUUUACACCCCACCAAUCAUCUCACUCUCAAAACUCUCCAUUUUUGCCUCCAUUAAUUCCCACUCUCUCCAAAACCCUGAUUUCUUCCUCUUCUCGUUUCCUCUCGCCCGCCCCUGGUACGCCAAUUUCCAUUCUCUCGCUCUUUUUUUUGGCAAUUUUGGCUUGAGUUUUUUGGGUUUUUGGUAAUUUAUCUUUAAUUUUUGUGGGUAUCCUUCGUUUUUUUAGUUAUCAUACAUGAGUUGAGUAGUCGUAGACGAUUUUUUAUUGUUUUAAACUGAACGGAUUCUUUGUAUUUCGAAAAUGAAAUUCAUUGUUUGUGAAGUAACUUUUAAAGCUGUUGAGUUGAGUUUGAAAACUUAAUGUGCUUAAAUUUAUCUAUGUGGAUUUGAAUCAGUUAGACAAGCAGCACAGGAGAGCCAAUCGAGCGCGGAGGUGAAUGCCGAUAGAAGAGAAUGGUUUAUGCAAGGUACAUUAAUAGUAAUUUGAUCUGAUGCCAAUUUUAUUUCUAUAUUAAUUUAUUAGAUUAUGUAAUGUUAUAAAUUCUUUGUUCAAAAUGUAGAGCUUGGAAAUUUAGUCGGUACAUUAUGGUAAUGAAUGUAGCUUGUGUAUCUGUUCAAAUUUAUGUCUAGCUUUGCUGUUUUGGUAAUGGUUUGUUUAGUAUAAAUUUUGUGUUGGUUAUGAUGUUGUUUAGUGGUUUGGAUCACUCGUGCUCUUUUGGCCCCCACUAAAAUUAAUUUUUCAUCAAAGGAUAUGAAUAGUUGUUCGAUGGAAACUUAAUGGAAGAUGUGGGAGCAUCUUUAUGAGUUAAGAUUCCCUGUAGCGAGUAUAUCCUUUGGUGCAUGAGAGUUUAAGUGAUUAUCGUCAUUGUUGAGUUAAACAAUGGGAUUAAUUUUCAUGUUCAUGUAAGGUGAUCAUCGCUAAAGUUAGAGCCAUUAGGUGAUAAAUUGAUACUUCAUUGUGUUGUUAUGUUUGUUAUACUGGAUAAAAAUCCCAGUGAUAGAAUUCAUGUUAGGCGGUUUUGGGUCCUAUUCAAUCCCAAAAGAUGAAUAAGGGGUGAGGCUUUCCCUCACAAUUGUAAAAUCACCACCAUCCUAGUUCACAACCGAUAUAAGACAACCCAACAAUCUCUCCCGCACAUAUUGGGCCUUGGUUCAAAAGCAUGGACACUCGUUUUCACUAGUAGGCUGUUGGACUGAGAUGUUGGUGAAUCUUUUAGUUGAUUUUUUUUUUUUUAUAAAAAGGAAAAGAUUAUGAAGAGAUAAAUACAAUAAAGAAAAAAAGAGAUCAAUAUUGCAAUAAAACAUUUAUGUAGUGAUAUUUUAUAUAAGAAUAAUUUCAUAUAGCUAUAAAAGUAAUGGUCCUAAUUUAUAUUAGGCCAAUUAUAAAUAAGAAUAAAUUUCAUGCUGUAAUAAUUUAUAAUUUUGCUAAAUCUCACCUUAAGGAGCUCACCUCCACGUAGUGUAAAUAUAUAUAUAGAAAAAAAAAAUAUGUUAUAUUACAUUAAGUGAACUUGGGGGUUGUUUGGUACCCCUCUUUACCUGGGAUUGCAUUGUGUUAGCAAUGCAACCCCAUGUUUGGGGUACCAAAUGGCUAUAUUAGCUAAACUCGACAUAUAGUCGGGUUUAGCUAAUGCGUCCAGUUACCGCAUUAGCUUUAGCUUCCUCUUUUUUUUUUUUUUUAUACUUUGUAAUAAUGAUAAAUGAAUAUAAUUUUUAAUUUAAUAUUAUAUAAUAUUAUUUUUACUUUAUAAUUUUAAUAUAAAUUAAUAAAUUUAUUGUUUAAUAAUAUUAUAUUAUAUUUUAAUUUUUAUCAUAGUAAAUGUACAACUAAAAAAUGUAUUAUUUAAUUAUAUUACAUUAAUUAAUAUGUAAAAUUAUAUUAAUUAAUAUAUAUAAUUGAUUAAUUUUUAAUAAGUUAAUAUAACUAAUAAUAAAUACUUAAAUAAUAUAAUAUAAUAUAAUAUUAUUUAAUUUAUUAAAAUAAUUAAACUAGUUAUUUUUAAAUAAUUUAAUAUAACUAAUAAUAAAUAUUUAAAUAUGAAUAAAUUUGAAUAAUAUUAAUUAAAAAUUAAUAAAAUAUAUAAUUAUUAGAUUGUUUAGCACAAUUCAUUUUUUAGCACAAUUCAUUAGUAUUUUCUAAAUAUAUAAUUUAAAUUAGUCACAAAAAAUUAAUACAAUAUAGUGCAAUAUCAAAUAUAAUAUAAUUAAAAAUUAAAUAUAAUACAGUAUAGUACCAAACAUUAUACAACAUUAUUAUAAUACAUUACUAAUACAACACAACAUAAUGCAAUACACCUGCAUUAAAAUAAUGCAAUACAAUAUAAUAUAAUACAGCGUGCCAAACGCACUCUUGUAUCCAUAUAGUACAAAAACAACAUAAGAGAAAAAUGUUAAAGAGAACACAAAAGUUCAGAGACUUUUAAGAUAAUGUUUUAUAUUUGUAACAAGCAUGUGCUAACUUUUUUGAAACCAUGUAUAUUUAUUUUUUCCCUAAGUUACAUGCAUGUAACUUAGCAUUAGCCUCAUUUUAUUAUUAUCUAUACAUUGGAUUUGACAUGUUUCAUUAAUAAUUUAUUACUACAUCUCUAUUAAAAUAAUUGAGGUCCUGCACUUUCAUUGGAAGAUAGGAGAAAAAAAUAAUUGAUAAGAGAAGAAAACAAUUUAAAAUAAAAUUUUAAAAUAUUUAUCAUUACUUAAAAAAAUUAAUUUUCUUUUCCUAAAGUUAUUCCACAGACGGUAGUACAAAAUUAUGUGAUCACGCACGCACACAGUGAUAGGGUAAUUAUUGAAACAAAAAUGAAAUUUGUCUGUUUUCCAUUUGAAAUCUAUUACUAAUAUAAAGGAAAAGAAAAAUCUUUAAUUACUUUUUUUUUUUUUCAUGUAGGGCAAGGCAAACAUCACUAUCUUGUUAAAUUAAUAUUUAAAAUUAUCCCACCAAAUGUAAUUAUAACAAAUUAAAUAAAUAUUUACUAUGAGUUCAGCAUCUGGGUUCCCACUCCAUAAAUAUGCCAGCAUUUUAAAACAAACAAGACUUAGAGUGUGUUUGGGAUUGAGGUGCUGUAGCUUUUAAGCUACAGCUGCUGUGAAAAAAAAACUGUAAUUAUGAAACAAAAUUUAAUAAUAUAUAGUAAAUAUAAAUUUUAAAUAAUAAUUUUGAUAAAAAUAUUAAAGAUAUAAUAAAUUUUAUAUUAUACAAGUGAAAAAUCAUAUUAACAUAGCUUAAAAGCUACAGCAGCUAGUGUUUACCAAACACUACAGCUGCCCAACCUCAAUCCCAAACGCACUCUUAAGCGACAAAUACAAUUUUGUCAAUGAGUAUAAAGGUCGCAUUAUAAGCCAAAGGAGAGCAGUUAAGGGAAGAUAAAAUAUUAUUGUAUUGAACUGGUUAUUUCUCUCUAGGGGUGGCAAAAAAGUCUGGGCUGGUCUAGGCCCGCGGGCCUAAAGCCCGGCCCGUAAGGGUGGGCCCAGAUAUUGGCCUAAAAAUUACAAAGCCCACAUAUGUGGGAUCUGGACAAGGGCUUAGCAAAAAAGCCCGGACUUGGCCCAGGCUUUUUAAAUUUAUGAAUAAAAAAUAAAUUUAAUUUAAAUAAAAAAAGAAAAAACUCAAAAUAUUAAAUUAGUUUAAUUUUUUAUAUUAGUAUUUGUUAUUUUAUUAGGUUGUAUUAUUAAUAUUUUAUGUAUUGGACUAUUAUUCUAUUUUAUAUAUUAGAUGAUUAUCUUUAAUUUAAAUUUUUUCUUAAUUUAAAAAAUAUUUUAUAAUUAAUUUAAAAAGCCCAAGCCCGGCCCAGGCCCGGCCCGAGUUCGGUCCGUCCAAAUUUAAACGGGUUUUUGAAGGGCCUGGACUUCGUUUGAAUGAUGUGGGCUUGGGCCUGGGCUUUGAAAAGCCCGGCCCAAACCCGCAAAUUGCCAUCCCUAUUUCUCUCUCUUCUAUUAUUAAUUUGUUGUUAAUUAUAACCUUUGCGGGAUUUAAAAAAAAGAAAAAGGCCCUUGCGUUUUCAUCAACAUUACACUGCCAAAUGUGAAAUGGAUUGAGAACCACAUGUCCUUAUUAUGCUGCCACUCCACAAAUGUUUAUUUUCCCCUCAUUCUCCUUAGAAGCCAGAGGCAGAGUCAGUCCUGCACCCCUUUACGUAUGCCUUCUCCAUAAAUUAACAUAAACGAUUAGUAUUAGAGCUGGCAAAAUGGGUCAUCGGGUCGUGUUUGUAUUGUGUCAGCUUCGUGUCGUGUCAAAUUUAGGUCGACCCAUACUCGACCCAUUUAAUAAUCGUGUCAAAAUAUUGAGACACAAACCCGACACGGAAAAAUAAUCAGGUUAUCCAAUAACCCGCUAUCUAUAUAUUAAACAAAAGUUACAUCAAAUAUUUACACAUUUUCAUACAUACGUAUGCGCAUACAUACAUACAUAAUUUAUUGAUAUUAUAAAAUAUACAUAUCUACUAAAAUAUUAGACACACUAUUGAGGUUUUAAUUAUAUAUGUGUAAAUAAUAUUAUAUAUCAAUAUUAUAAAAUAUAUAUGUCUACGAAUAUUUUAUACAUUUAUACUAGCUCUAAAUGUAUUUAAAAAUUCAUAAAUAAAAUAUUAUGUCUAUAUUCAUCCUUUUAAAGAAUUAAAAAAAAUCAUCUCUAAUAUUUGAGUUUUGGUGACAAGAAUUUACAAAUUAUUUUAAAAUAGAAAAUAUAAUCGGGUCAUUGAUCGGGUAAAUGGGUCAAGAAUUUUAACUCUAACCCGACACGAAAAAAAAUCGUGUUGACCCGGACCCGACCCAUUUAAUAAUCGUGUUAAAUUCAACGACUCAUACCCAUUUAUUAGUGUUGUGUUCGUAUUGGGUAAUCGGGCCGUGUCAAAUUUUGCCAUAUCUAAUUAGUAUAAGAUGAUUUAACCACACAAUAUGUCAAAUUUACAUUUUGCAAUCAUUGAUACUUGGUGCUACAGUCAAAUUUAUAUUUAUUCAAGGUAGCGGGUUCAAUAAUUAAAUUCACAUAAAAAGAAAGAUGCAUUCACCCUUAAUGGCCCAGGAGCCAACCAAAUUCCGCGUCCGCGAAGUGAGGCACUUUUCUUAAAGUUAUUUCACAGACGGAAGAACAAAAUUCUGUGAUCACGCACAAAGUGAUAGGGCAAUUAUUGAAACAUAAAUAAUGUCUAUUUCCCAUCCGAAAUCUGUUCUAAUAUAAAGGACAAGAAAAAGUUUUAAUUAUUAUUAUUAUUAUUUUUCACGUAGGGCAAGGCAAACAUCACUAUCUUGUUAAAUUAACAUUUAACAUUGUCCCACCAAAUAUAAUUAUAACCAAUUAAAUAAAUAUUUACUAUGAGUUCAGCAUCUGAGUUCCCACUCCAUAAAUAUGCCAGUAUUUUAAAACAAACAAGACUUAAGCGACAAAUACAAUUUUGUCACCGAGUGUAAAGGUCGCAUUUUAAGCCAAAGGAGAGCAGUUAAAAGGAAGAUAAAAUAUUACCGUAUUUCUCUCUCUUCUAUUAUUAGUUUGUUGUUAAUUAUAACCCUUUUCGGGAUUAAAAAAAGAAAAGAAAAAGGCCUUUGCGUUUUCUAUUAGCAUGUGUACAUGUUUAUUUUCUGUGUUAGUAGUGCAGAGUAUAUACUGAACACACUGGACAAAAAGGGUAAUUUGUAAUCAAUUUAGUUUUAUAAACAUUAAUCUCGGAAGUAGUUACUGAACUUCAUGUGGAAAAAAAAAUAAAAAAAGAUAGUCGCUGAGCAAUAAAUCUACAAGUCAUCAAAAUCGAGCAAUUCUAUGGCAAGAAUUCUUUCCAGUGGGAGGAUUCUAAAACCAAGAAUCCACUGCUGAAAUUUUAUUCACUGAAAAUAGGGAACGAUUGACACACCAGACAACAAGAACAAGAUGCAAUUAAAUCUAAUGAAAAUUAAAAAAAGAAAAAAGAAAUACAUAUUCAAACAUAUUAAUGAAAAUCAUCCCCAAGUACGACACCGGAAGAGAAAGCAUUUUGGGUGGCUUGAUCCUCCCAUUGUAGCUCUUCCCACCAUUCUUUCUCUCCCUCGAUGACAACUCGACGUUCCUUCACGCUGCUGGAAUUGACUGGGAGCUUCUUCAGCUGUGGGCAUCCACGUACUUGAAUUUUCUUCAGCUUUGGAAGGGGCAGGGGAUUCGGGUAAACGCUCUUUAAAUUUCUUCCCCACUUUAUGGUUAGAGAUUCGAGUUGUGCAAAAAAGUUAUGCUCUGACCCGAUUAUCUCCGAAAUAUCUCUCAAUUUAUCAACACUAAUUAUUUCUUCCAUUUCUGUACAAAAGACUAUACGCAGCUGCUUGAGAAUUUGAACAAAAACUAGCCACGUUAAGUCUUUCAUUUUUUUGCAACUGCUUAUGACAACUCUGUCGAGACUGCGGAAACCACUUUGAAAAAGCUUCUUCACCUCUUCUGUGCUGUCAAUCUUCAUCUCUUCCAAGUUAAUGUCUUCAAGAUCUAACUCCUGAAGAUUCUCCAUGUAUGCGAGAUGUAAGAGAUUGAACGGUGCACUUUUACAAUGGUAAACCAAUACAAAUUGAGUGAUGCUCACCAGCUUUGGAUAUUUCAAAAACUUUUGGACAGCAAGUGAACUUCCGAAGGACCAGCUUAAAACAUUUAAAUGCUUCAAACCCAGCAAUUCCUUCAUCAAAGGUUCAGCACCAUCACAUAGAACGUUACCUUCUUUCCCUUUUAUUACCGAAAGCGACCGCACCCACGCAACCUGAGUACCUCCAACUUUGAAAAGCCAGAUAUCAAUUCAUGUGGAAUUAUAGACAAAUGAAAUGCAUAGUCCAAGUUCAAAUAUCUCAGCUUCUCCAAUGCCUUCAGCUCUUGCGGCAACCCAGUUAUGUCAGUCGAUGAAAGAUCAAGAUGAUGUAAUGAAACCAAACUUGAAAUCCCUGAAGGUAGUUUACUUAGGGAAAGAUUUAUUCGUAGACUUAAUACUCUAAGAGAAGACAUCGAUUGAAAGAAGCCAUCAGUAAUCUCCUCAAUCCAAUUUCCAUCCAGAAGUAAAGUGACGAGACGUGGACACGUGGGAAUUUCCGAUAGGCUUUGAAUUCUAGUUUUCAUCAGAGAUAUCCGUUUGGCACCUUCCCAUUCUUCAACCUUUGGUGCUUCGGUCAGUUUAACUCCAGCGUGAACCAGAAAGUUCUGCUCCUCCUUGUCUACCGUGCACGCUAUCCAUAAUGACAUCUCACGAAUCAUAUCGUGCAUCUUUACAUGAUCAUCGCCUUCUUCCUCCAAUAAGCAUGCUUGAAGAAGGUCAUCAAUAAAAUCGCAUCCAUCAUCAAAAUCACACACAAAUCCUUCACUAAUCCAGUAAUCAAUCAAUUCCCUUCUAGGAAUUUCGUAGUCUUCAGGGUACAAACAACAAUACAGGAGACAGGAACGAAGUUCGUCCGUAGACAAACUAUCAUAGCUGAACUUUAAACGCGAAAACACCUCUUCUUUCAUACCUGAGCAUUUAGAAGCUGAUGUUCUCAUUUUGUGAAUUGCACGUUUCCAAUCUCCAACUUUCCUUUGGCUUUUCAUCGCUCGACCCACUGUUUUAAGCGCUAGCGGCAACCCACCACACUCUCUUGCCAAGGUUUCGGCUAGCUCUGGAAUACUGGUAUGACUGUCAAGAGUGGAUCUUUCGACCAUCUCCUGAAAUAAUUCCCAGGCUUUAUCAUGCGCCAAACUAUACACUUCCACCUUUUCAGCGUCCAUUUGAUCGCAAACACCAGCUGAACGAGUUGUCAAGACUACUUUGGACCCAUCAUUUAGUUUUUGAAGAGGGACACCCAAUUGUGUUAAAUCAAUGCGUUCCCAUAUAUCAUCCAAUAACAACACAAACUUCUUUCCGCUUAAAAUUCUAGCGAUGUCCGCAGCCUUGUCUCGAGGACUUUUUUUCUCCCACCUUUGGUCUUCUGAAAAGCCAAUCCUUUUUCCAAUGUCAUCUUGAAGUGUUGACGCAACCGCCCAGAUAACAACAUCAAAAUUAUGCUGUUGAUGGCAGAAGUUGUUGUUGACUUGUUUUAAAAGGGUAGUUUUGCCGGCUCCCCCUAUACCAUACAAGCCGAUAAUUCCCCUGUUCUUUUCCUGAUCAGUGAUACAUCUCCAAACUUGAUCAAGUAAUAGUUCUUGACCAACAACUGUGUGAUCAAGAGGUAAUUCAAUUGCUGCACCAUCUGGCGCCUUCUCAACAACGACUUCAAUUUUUUCUCCGUCUUUCUUUAAAUUGAUCACUCGAUCCGUCAACUCGACCACCUGAGUCCCGUAAUUGUAGCUUGAAACGAAGUUUUUGGAACAGAGGCCUCCAAGGCACAAUCUAUCCAUUUCUUGAGCUCUAACUCGUUCCAGCUCGGUAAAUUCAGUUUCCAGAUUUUGCACAUCUUCAAGCCACCCUGCGACCUGGUUCGUUCGUCUGGUUCGAGGUCGUUGUUCUUCGACCUCAACCUUGGUCUUCAGAUCGUCCCUUGCUCGAGUCAAUUUGUGCAAUUCAGUCUCCAAGACCCGAAGAUUUUUUUCGAGACCCCAUACAUAUUUUGCUUGUUCACCAACGCAGUUUGAAGUUCGAUCAAAUAAGUCUGCUGGUAAGAAGGUUGAGAUUAAGUUACCCAUUGUCGUUGACGAAAAGAGGAAGAGAAGCAAUGAGUACAAUGAAAAGAAUUAUGCUGCUUUGGAGAGGGUUAUAUUUGGAGAAGCACAAUACCGAAAUAAAAAUAUGAUACAUUUGUUGCUUUAUAAUUCAUAUGUCAAAUAUCGCGAACAUAAUGAUACGUUUACACGUCAUAUAAAAUUUGUAAUUCAUUUCAGUAAUGACAGAAUUAAUAUUAAAUCUUAUCAUUUAUUAUUUAAGUGAUAAAUUUAUAUUGAGAAUAUUUAUUUAGAAUAAAAAUUUUGUGCCUUUACUUUGGAUGAAGAUUCAAAAUAUUAAGUCAAUGAUAGCUAGAUAAAAAAAUAAAAUAAAAUAAAAUAAAUUUUAACAUAAAUUUUUUAUUUAAUAAAAAAUAAAUUCAAUAUAAAAUUCUAAUCCCUUAGAUUUACAAGUGCAAUCAUUGAUGAUGUAAAGAAUUAUUAUUUUUUUGGUUAAAAUACUAAGAUAUGGACAGUCAAUCAUUAGCCAUAUGGAUUCAAUUUCUUGAUCGACCAAAAACCUUGUUUCGACUGAAAUCUAUACGUGCAAGUGAACAUAAAUGAACAAGCUUUCAUCUGGAUUUACAGAGUGUGAAGUAAAUGGUGCGCGGUUGGAGGGGGGGGGAGCUUAAAUGGCAUGUUUUAUUCAAACGAUGCUGCAACUGCAGUUCUUAGUAGUUGGAUUCAGAAAACUAAGCUUCGAUAUCAUGACAUAACAAAAGAUGCAAUAAAAAUUGCACGGACAUAAUAGUUGUCAUGCUUCCAUAACAACGUUACCAAGUCGGUAAAAGCUAGGAAUAACAAAACACAUAAAAGUAGUUUCAUAUUAGAGAAUAUCUGAAUUUCCUGGUUGGUGGAGUUUCUUUGAUGAUCUUGUUCGAAAGCUAAUACCAUUCAACUCUAAAAUGUACCUCAAAGUAUCAAUCAUCUCAAUUAACUAGCCACAAAGUUUCCUUAGCUUGCCACAGUUCAGUUGUAGCAAACUACCAAAGCCCAUUUGACAAGCAGCCACUCUUUGUUCAUCUGUCAGCUGUGAAAGUGCCACCGCUAAUCUAUCUGGAGUCCAUCUGGUUAAGAACUUUGCCUUUGCGACUGCUGACUUCACUAUUCGUUCGCAUUGACUUUGUAUUGACAUUUUUUACCCGGCGGUAAAUUCUUAAACAUGGAUUCAAUUUCCGUCCAGUACACAAUCAUGGCAAAUAAACUAACUACGCCUUCACUACUUGAAAAUACAAAUUUAUUUUAUUUGUAACGCAAGUCAUUCCAUCGCUUGCCUUAACCUCACGCACGGCUUCACCGCUGCAAUAUCAUCAUAUGACUGCGAAAUUAUAUAUCUCUAUAAUUUUGUGAUGCAUAUGCAUUUUGCUUUUCAUGCCCUUGCAUUACUGAGCUGAUUUAUAUUCUCUGCUUGCAGUUUCAUUCACUAAUAUCCUUUAAUUGUUGUCAACGUCUUCUGGUCUAUAUUUGAUGAGCAUAGUAAAUACCUACUUUUGAUGCUCCAUAUACAAGUAUUAUCAGUCUGUUGCAAAUAGAUGUUUAUCACUAAUGUUGAAAUCGUAAAAUUUUAGACAUACUAGAACCUAAAAUCAAUGAUCCAAAGAGCCAUCGCCGUUUUUUGGAGCAGUUCUUGCAAUAGAUUCCCACUGUGGUUUUGAUUAAUUUGGUCAUGAUGCUUGUGUGCAGUGAUACUGGUAGGAAAGUUGAUGAUCCUGAGGUGCUUGAGGCAAUUCGUUUGACAGUUAUAAACAAUCUACUUCAGUAUCACCCAGUAAUCAUUUUUUUGUCUCUCUUGAGAUAUAACUUGGUGGAGCACCUGUAGGAAUUGUCUUAUUGAAAAGCUUAUUCCAUUUGUGUUGGUGUUGGAAUCAGGAAUCAAGUUCCCAGUUUGCAAUGGGUGUUGCCUUUGGCGUUGAUCCUCCAAAACAACAGGUUUUUGCUUUCUGGUCUUAUUUUGAUUUUUCAGAUUAUUGAUAUUUUUGGCUCUUCUCAGUAGUGGAUCAUUUGAAUAGGAAACUAAGUUGUUUUUAGAGUUCUCUUAGGCCAAAUAUUACUUCACUUUUAUCCUCAUUUUAUUUAAAGACAUUAUAUUCAAUUUGCCUGCCAUUGAAAUUAAUAUCAUGUUGUCAUGAAUGUUAAAAACUAUGCAUAUGAGUUAUUAUGGGAAGGAUAAUGUCCCACUUCAAUCUUGUCUCAAAUCUUGUUGUGCUGGAAUUUGUCAGGUUGAUGUGGACAUAGCAACCCACAUAAGCAUCUAUGAUGAUGGCCCCAACCGAAGGUAAUGCAUAAUUCAUUCUCUUAUCUAGAUGAUGGGGCUUUUGCUAUCCACCAAACUUUGGUCCCACACUAUUACUACUCAUACUCCAGCCCAAGUGGCAAUUUCCUGCCCAUAACUGAAGUAGUCAGAUAAUUUGGCCCUUACUAUUUUUGUUUAUUUUACCUUUUGUUUUAUUGAAGUUUGCUUUUGGUGGAGACGGCUGAUCGACCUGGAUUAUUGGUGGAUCUUGUAAAGAUUUUUACUGUCAUCAAUGUCAAUGUUGAAUCGGGAGAGUUUGAUACUGAGGUAGUGAGGUAAUCUUUUAUAACAAACUCUAUAUAUAUAUAUAUUGACAAAAGAGUGGCCUUCCCUUAUAAAUAUAUUUUGUUCUAAUUUUUGUUUUCGCACCCAGGAGUUGUUGGCUAAGGCAAAGUUUCAUGUCAGCUACAAGGGUGAAGCCAUUAUCAAGCCUCUCCAACAGGUAAAAACAACAGGCCUACAUAUAGGACAUCGGAAAUUGCUUUAUAGAUUGUUUGCUCUGAAGAAUAAAGAGACUUACCAUUUCUACUCAAAAUCGGUAUUCUAGUUGCAAAACUGUUCUUAUAUAAAAGAUUUGAAUUUAAACUUUGAAGUGGGCGGUAAGAACAUUAACGUGCUAAUGAUCACACGGUGCACCUGAAGGCUUGGACGAUCGUUGAUGUACUGAUUAGACUUUGCUUGAUCAAAUUUGCAGGUUCUUGCUAACAGUUUGCGAUAUUUCUUGAGGCGACCAACAACCGAGGAGGCAAGUUUUUGAGCUCUUGUUGAAGACUCCACCAACCAAAUUCAGGAUUACACACACUUGAUGAAUUUUUUUAUUUCUCUCCCCAGUAAACAUUCACAAGGGGAAUUACAAUAUGUUGUCUCCCUAAUCUCCUUACAUAAAAUAAAUAAAACAUGAGAUAUAUAUAAACGGACAACAUUUUAAUGAUAUAUCAUAUGGUAAACACUUAUAAAAUAGAAACCUUGCUAAUUUUAUCAUCCUCAUCAAUUCAUAGUCCUUUUUAAAUAAUUUUCAAGUUUAGGGAUAUGAUAUAGCUGUGUUGUAUUACUCAUAUUAAUCUUAAGCCUAAAGUUUGCAAUGGGUUGAUGAGCAUACAACCUUUUUCUAUUCAUGGAUUAAAAUAAUAAUAAUAUUAUUAUUAUUAGUUUUUUUUUUUUUUAUGUGAACCUUAGUUUACAUCCUAAAUUUUCCUAUAUCAACAUUUCAUUCCAGUACGCAAACAAGAUACAUCACUAUGGUUUCUUUAAUUUCAUUCUGUUUUCAUGCUUUGAAAAUUAGCGUCAUGACAUUGAUUCAGCAACUUUCACAAAACAGAAACAUAAAGGAGAUUUUUACCAUGUGGCUUUGGUGCAUUGGUCAUCAAAAUCUGCACAAUUAAUUAUAAAGAAUAUACGAUGUUUGCGCGUGCAAUUAUGAACGACUCAUCUUAUAUCAACUUAAGGGCAAAAUUAUUUUAAAAUCUCUUUGUAUAUAUGUUACAAUGUCAUUAAUUUUUUUUGUCAAUGGUCAUAGUUUAUUUAAUUGGCUACCAUUUUUAAGUUUCUUAUGACAGUUAACGGGUGAGGUAAAUCGAACACUUAAUUUUUUUAUAUUUAUAUCGUCAAUGGUGGAUUCAAGAAAAUAAUUUAUCGAUGACUAAAUUAUAUGACGACACGAUUCGAAAACUCAAAUUUUAUAGGUUUAAUAAAAACUAAAUUAAAUAAUAGUAAACCACCUAUAUGGGUUACCUCAUAACUUUUUAUAUUUUAAUUAAAGUGUGGUUUUUGUAAUUCUCAAAAUUAAAAUUUUAUAAAUUUUGAAUUUAUAAGACUAUUUUUAUAAAUUUAACUUGCCUAUUUUAAUAUAUUCAACAGAAUUAAUUAAUAACUCAAAUAUUUUUUUUAAUUAUUCUCUCUGUCCCACUAAUCAUGAGGUGAAUCCACCUCUAUAUCUCAUUUUAUAUUGUGUAAUCUCGUUAUGACUAAAAAGUACCUCCCUUAGAUUCAACUACUUAUCUAGGGAAAGUUUUUAAAAGCUGAGUCCACAAGCCAUGUCCCAUAACUUAGAUGACUGAAAAACAAAAACAAAACAAAAGGGAACAAAAGAAGGCCAUGCGGCCCAUGCUCUGCAAUGAGUGCUCCCUAAUGAUCAAGAAAGAGUAUUAUAAUUUAAUAUUUAUCCAAACAGAAAAUGACGUACACGGGAACAAUAAAUGAUCUCCCUAGAGAUGAGAGAAAUGGAUAACAAUAUUCUCUUAUUUAACUUCACUAUAUAAAGAGCUCUCUAUCAAAAUCAUAAUUCAAUUCAUUCCACCCACAUUGUUUGGAAAGAGAGAAAGUGAGAGAAAAAAGAAGGAAAAUAUGACAGGAUCAUUUGCUAGAGGAGCUCCCACCUUUAACUCCAUGUUUUUCAAGUAAUGUUUUCAUUAUCUAUCUACUUUGCUAUUUCAUCAUUUCAUUUUGACAAUCGCACUUCAUUAUUGCAUGGUAUGUUUGUAAAUAAAUGUUUUCACUUUAUCUAAAUUAAUUUUGUUAUGAAACAGUUCGUUCGAAAUAGGCCUAAUAGUUUCAAAUUAUUUAUUUACUAAUUAUGAGUGGUUGGUUAAGUACAUAGAAUUAAAUGUUUUAUUAACUGAACCAAUAUGUCUCCACAGGGGCCUCAGGUUAAAAAAAAUUAUCAAGAAAUAUGAAAGUCUUCAAUUAAAUUUGUCUCUGUGUCUGAUAAUUUUAUUUUGUAGCCCCCAUAUGUUUAUAUUCUUGUGGUAUAACCUACUUAAAAUUUGUUGUUUCUGUAUGAUUGAUGACAUCCAAAAUCCUGAUUUCGCCACUGUCCACGCAAUAAUAAAAAGAGAUUGCUUUCAUUCAUUUGAGUGUUUGAAUAUUUUACUCUUUGUUUUUGCAUUAUUAAUUUGUUGAGUCUUUUUGAAACAUAUAGGCCAAUGAUGAGGAAAUCCUUUCAAAAGAAAACAAGUUCUUAUGAUAUGAUGAGAGAAACAACAUUGAAAUCCAAUGCAGAAGAAGGAAAUGUGAUGAGGAGCCAACAGUUGAAUAAUAAUGUGGGAGAAAAUGAAGGGAAUUGUGGUUGGGUUCCUCAUGAAAGAACUGGGAUUUAUUACCCAAAAGGCCAUGAAAAAGUUAUUGACGAUGUUCCUCCUAGCGCUGGAAGAGAUUUUGAAGUUAAUUGGUUCUCAGAAACUCAUGGAUAAUUUAUGGAUAUGUUUUUUUUUUUUCAAAUUACUACACAUGCUUAAAGCGAAAAGGCUUUCUAUUGUCUCAAAGCAAAAUCCGAUUGUGAAAAAAAAAAUUAAAAUAAAAUAACAAUAAUGGAAAAUGAAAUCAUUUAGAUUCAGCUCAAUGCUAAGCAUUCCAAAAUUUAAGUUUCAAAAGAUAUGACAAUCAUUUAUUAGAUGGUGGUUAAAUAAUUUUACAAGUUAUGAAAUCUAUCGUCUAAUAAAUGAAUAACGUGUGACUUUUAAGACUUAAGAAGUUAAGACUAAAAAAUUAGGAUCUUAAUAUUAUUCUUACUUUUAUAUCAUCUUUUUAUUUAGGUCUAUUGUUUAUUGUCGUCUGAUUCUUCAAGCUAAAUGUACAAAACUACAAAUGGAUUAGGUGGGCCUCGCAUGGGCUUAAUUUUUUGUUAUGGCUCAUGAGUGGUCCUAUUGGUACCCCUAAAAAACCUUCUCAAACCCUUCUUUUAUAAUCAUGCAUUUGUCCCUAUUUAAAUUUACAAUGAUAAACAGAAGAAAUUAAAUUUUAUUCAAAUAACUAGUCUCCAUAAUUACAAUCAUGUGAAACCAAAACUCGACUUAACAAUUUAUUAUUUAUUUUGACGAUAUUUAGUUGACAUUCCUUGUUUAUCAAAGCACAAUGUAUUUUCUUAAAUUUUGAUAAAAUUUUAAUUAUUUUGUUAUUAUUAUUUAAGAUGAAACCUUAAAAUAUCAAUAACCAAUGUUGGAUGUUGUUAUAAGAAAUUCUAAUGAAAAUAUUAUGGAAAUAGCUUUUAAAAUUAUAAGUUCUAAUGGAGAUAAUGAUUAUUCGAAAGUUGAUGCCAUCAGAUUUGGGUUUCAAGCUCCCCAAGACGAAGAAAAUGUGAAAAUGGGGUUGGUGUGUAAACCAAGGGUGUUUUUGGAAUCAACUUAUGUGGGUUUAGAAAUCGAGUGAGGCUAUAUACACUCUAAAAAUUACACUAAACACCAUAAUUUUAUAAAAAAAUUUAUUUCAAUAAUAUUUAUGGUAUAAAUUAUUAUUAAGGACAUGACAAUUAUUAAUUUUUUUUGUAUGACUAUAAUUACUUCUUUUUCAGUUAUAUUAUGAUGAUAUUAAACAAGUUUACAUUGGUUGCUUGAUUUUUUCUUUUGGCCAAAAAAUACAUGUCAUUCCACAAUACCAGAGUAACAUGGACAAUUAUUCAGACUCUUACAAACUAGUCUGCAACUGAGGCAUUACAACCCAGCAAACAUUUUUGCGACAUAAAAAUGUUCAGACAAAUCCAGAUUAAAAAAAAAAGGGCUUAAUUUACCAUCCUCUUUUGACAAACUUUGAAUUUUCUGACAUUCAAUUGGAGGUGGAAGUGGCAUCAUAGUUGUACUGAAGAAGAUCGUCAUAAGGGUCCCAGGCACCUACUCUGAAUCAUUCUUUCUUGUCCCUCUCUUUCAAGUCCUCCAUCAACCUCAAAAUCAUAUUCUCAGCAAUUAAAAAUUUCAUCUUCACUUCUCUUCUUGAUUCUAAGCUCAGAACUAUGAAGCGCAAGCUGCGUCUUUUAUUUAGCUAAAUGAUAUAUUGGUUAAUUGAUUUAUUUGUUCGGAUUAUAAUGUUUAUUUCUCACGAUCUUUUCAUUGGUGAAAUUUUUUGAUGGAUUUUUUUAGUUGCUCCUUUAUCAUUCUUCAUUUAUUGGAGAAAUAUAUUAUACAACCAAAUAAUUAAAUUUUAAUGAUAAAAGAGUGUUUAGAGAAAUAUUUUGAAUAUGUAAGGCGUUUUCAUGAGUGUGUUAGAGUAAAUUAAUUUAAAAAGGAUUAAAUGAGUACAUUUUUGGUACUUUAAGGAAUGUACAAAAUAUAGUUCAUUUUUUUAAAUUAAUAAAUAAGUGUAUAUAGUAAUAAAACUUUGAGAAUAAUUUUUAGACUACAAAUAACUCUGCCCUUAGAAAUAAUAUUAUUUUUUGAAUGAUUUAGUGGGCAUAUUGAAUAAAGAUUUUUAUGAGGGCUUUCAAAGGUGCGAUAGUUCUACUCAUGACUCAUUUUUCUGCUAUUAGGAUUUACUCUUUGUUUCGUACUUUCAUUUGAGUGGAGCUCUCUCUGUCUCUCUCUCUCUCUCUUUGGAAAUGGAAAGCUUCAAUCAAUCACUUCAAGGAAAAAGACUUACAUGAGUUGAAAUUUCCUCCAGCCAAAUUACACGGCCCGAAUUGUUAACAUCAUAUUUAUCUAAUUUAUGAGCGGUCUCACUACUACUGCUCAGUAUAAGAUUGAUUUUGAAGUGGUCUUUCACAACCAUACAAUUUCGAAUCUCGAAAAUUAACCAUGAUAUUUCUUUCAUACUUCUUUCAAAACCUUUCGCCAAGUUUAAAAUAGUCUUCGAGUCUGAUUCAACAAUUAAUGGCAUUAAACCAAAGUCUAUUGCCAUUUUUAUUCUAAAAUUCAUAUCUUCAGCUUUAGCAUAUUCAACGUCCCCAUGAAAAUCUAUAUUCUGAAUUCCUACACUCCAAAAUCCUUAUAAAGCUUGUUUUAAUUUUUAUUUAUCAAAGUACCUUGGUUUAAUUUAUAAAAUACUAAUCCAUAAAUUAAAAUUAAUAAUCUUCUCAUUAAAUUUCACCUUAAAAAGAUUAUAAAUUAUUAAAAGUUUCUAAAAAUUAUAUAUAUAUAUAUAUAUAUAUAUAUGAAAUGAGGUGGGUGGAAAAAUGUUAAAAGAAUAAUUUUAUUUAAGUAUUAAUUAAAUUUUCAAUCAAAAUAAAAAUGGAAUUAAUUUAUCUUUAAUUAUUUAAAUAAUUUUAAUUAAAGAGUUAUAAGGAAUUUAAAGGAGGGUCUUAUAGGGGGUGUCAAAAGGCUGCGAUCUAAUGCUUCCGUUCAUCACAAUCUGCUACUGCGAUUGAUCGCGAUCUGCAGCCGUGGUCGCGCUCGUCCUGUCGCCGUUUGUCGUCGCGAUCUGUUACCUUCGGUGAAGAGGAGCACAAUGUUUGUUUUGGGAAUUAUAAUUUUAUAUUUUAAAUUAUUAAUUUCUUAUAUUGUUUGGCCACUGAUUGUACAUUAAAAUUAUAUAGAUUGGUGUUUGUAUUAUUUCAUUGUUUGCUUAUUUGUUAUUAAUGUUAUUAUUGUUUAUUAUUAUUAUUAUUAUUAUUAUUGUAGUAUUAGUAGUUGUUAUUUAAUUUCAUUAUUAUCAUUAAUUAUUACUAUUAUUUAUUUAUAAUGUUAUUAUUAAAUUUAUUAUUAUUAUCAUUAAUACCAAAGGACAACUAUUAUUAUUAUUAUUAUUAUUAUUAACAACUAAGGGCGUUUUAGUAACUUAAAACAACUUAACAUAUUCCGAUUCCGAUUCUUAGAUAAAGUAAACACAUCAAUGGGGUUUUAACUCAUUCCGAUUCCAAUUCCGAUUGCUACAGUUUAAGUAAACAACUUAUUUUGAUUCUCAUUCCUCAUUUUCAUUCCGAUUCUAACCCAUUCCGAUUACUGACAAGUAAACGCAUUAUAAAGGAAAGGAAAAAAAAUUAAUUAUUUUUUUUACCAAAUAUAAUUAUAACAAAUUAACUAAAUAUUUACUAAGAGUUCAGCAUCUGAGUUCCCAAUCCAUAAAUAUGCCAGCAUUUUAAAACAAACAAGACUUAAGCGACAAAUACAAUUUUGUCGACGAGUAUAAAGGUCGCAUUAUAAGCCAAAGGCGAGCAGUUAAGAGAAGAUAAAAUUUUACCGUAUUAAACUUGUAAUUGUGGAUGCCUGGCCUGGUGUUAAAAAGGAUUUAGAGCCACAAAAAGUUUUUGACCAAACCAAAAAGAAGUAGCAAAGCAAAAAAAGGAUAAUAGCAAAGCAAUAAAUCUACAAGUCAUCACAAUCAUGCAACUCUAUAGCAAGAAAAAAAGAAAAAGAAAAAGGAAAUACAUAUUCAAACAUAUUAAUAAUAAGGAUCCUCCCAAAGUACGGCACAGGAAAAGAAAGCAUUUUGGGUGGCUUGUUCCUCCCAUUGUAGCUCUUCCCACCAUUUUUUCGUUCCCUCGAUGACAACUCGACGUCCCUUCGCGCUGCUGGAAUUGAGUGGGAGCUUCUUCAGCUGUCGGCAAUGAAAUACUUGAAUUUUCUUCAGCUUUGGAAAGGGCAGGGGAUUCGGGUAAACGCUCUUUAAAUUUGUUCCCCGCCACAUGGUUAGAUAUUCGAGUCGUGCGAAAAAGUUAUGCUCUGACCUGAUUAUCUCUGAAAUAUCACUCAAUUUAUCAACACUGAUUAUUUCUUCCAUAGUAAAACCCUGCAUAUUUAGCUGCUCGAGGUUUUGAACAAAAACAAGCCACGUUAAGUCCUUCCCUCUGCAAGACCUUAGGACAACUGUGUUAAGACUGCGGAAACCAUUUCGAAAAAGUUUCUUUACCUCUUCUGUGCUGUCAAUCUUCAUCUCUUCCAACUUAGAGGAUUCAAGUUCUAACUCCUGAAGAUUCUCCAUGUAUGCCAGAUGUAAGACAUUGAACGGUGGCCUUGUAUACGUGCCACAUUCAACCCAUACAGAUUGAGUGAUGCUCACCAGCUUUGGAUAUUUCAAAAACUUUUGGACAGCAAGUGAACUUCGGAAGGACCAGCUUAAAACAUUUAAAUGCUUCAAACCCAGCAAUUCCUUCAUCAAAGGUUCAGCAUCAUCACAUAGAACGUUACCUUCUUCUUCUUCU